CCUACGGGAGGCAGCAGUGGGGAAUAUUGCACAAUGGGGGAAACCCUGAUGCAGCGACGCCGCGUGAGUGAAGAAGUCCUUCGUUAUGUAAAGCUCUAUCAGCAGGGGAGAAAAUGACGGUACCUGAGUAAGACUCCCCGGCCAACUACGUGCCAGCCGCCGCGGUACUACGUAGGGGGCAAGCGUUAUCCGGAUUUACUGGGUGUAACGGGAGCGUAGACGGCAGGGCAAGUCUGGAGUGAAAGGCGGGGGCUCAACCCCCGGACUGCUCUGGAAACUGUACGGCUGGAGUGCAGGAGAGGUAAGUGGAAUUCCUGGUGUAGCGGUGAAAUGCGUAGAUAUUAGGAGGAACACCAGUGGCGAAGGCGGCUUACUGGACUGUAACUGACGUUGAGGCUCGAAAGCGUGGGGAGCAAACAGGAUUAGAUACCCGGGUAGUC
This 440-nucleotide ribosomal RNA is filed under the name uncultured bacterium. RNAcentral describes it as "partial 16S ribosomal RNA". It matches the Rfam family "Bacterial small subunit ribosomal RNA", at positions 338 to 795 of the family's 1533-position model. The record is from RNAcentral.